This 72-nucleotide transfer RNA is filed under the name Glycine max (soybean). It matches the Rfam family "tRNA". From Rfam's summary of the family: Transfer RNA (tRNA) molecules are approximately 80 nucleotides in length. Their secondary structure includes four short double-helical elements and three loops (D, anti-codon, and T loops). Lineage: Eukaryota; Viridiplantae; Streptophyta; Magnoliopsida; Fabales; Fabaceae. RNAcentral also lists the same sequence under 1 other name. The record is from Rfam by way of RNAcentral.
UUCUUUGUAGUCUAGUUGGUUAGGUAUUCGGCUCUCAUCCGAGAGACACUGGUUCAAGUUCCGGCAGCGAAA